CGAUGAUCCGGUGCUUGCACCGGGGAUUAGUGGCGAACGGGUGAGUAACACGUGAGUAACCUGCCCUUAACUCUGGGAUAAGCCUGGGAAACUGGGUCUAAUACCGGAUAUGACUCCUCAUCGCAUGGUGGGGGGUGGAAAGCUUUUGUGGUUUUGGAUGGACUCGCGGCCUAUCAGCUUGUUGGUGAGGUAAUGGCUCACCAAGGCGACGACGGGUAGCCGGCCUGAGAGGGUGACCGGCCACACUGGGACUGAGACACGGCCCAGACUCCUACGGGAGGCAGCAGUGGGGAAUAUUGCACAAUGGGCGGAAGCCUGAUGCAGCGACGCCGCGUGAGGGAUGACGGCCUUCGGGUUGUAAACCUCUUUCAGUAGGGAAGAAGCGAAAGUGACGGUACCUGCAGAAGAAGCGCCGGCUAACUACGUGCCAGCAGCCGCGGUAAUACGUAGGGCGCAAGCGUUAUCCGGAAUUAUUGGGCGUAAAGAGCUCGUAGGCGGUUUGUCGCGUCUGCCGUGAAAGUCCGGGGCUCAACUCCGGAUCUGCGGUGGGUACGGGCAGACUAGAGUGAUGUAGGGGAGACUGGAAUUCCUGGUGUAGCGGUGAAAUGCGCAGAUAUCAGGAGGAACACCGAUGGCGAAGGCAGGUCUCUGGGCAUUAACUGACGCUGAGGAGCGAAAGCAUGGGGAGCGAACAGGAUUAGAUACCCUGGUAGUCCAUGCCGUAAACGUUGGGCACUAGGUGUGGGGGACAUUCCACGUUUUCCGCACCGUAGCUAACG
This 779-nucleotide ribosomal RNA is filed under the name uncultured Arthrobacter sp. Its description in RNAcentral is "bacterial SSU rRNA". It matches the Rfam family "Bacterial small subunit ribosomal RNA", at positions 67 to 857 of the family's 1533-position model. The record is from RNAcentral. Lineage: Bacteria; Bacillati; Actinomycetota; Actinomycetes; Micrococcales; Micrococcaceae.